This 467-nucleotide ribosomal RNA is filed under the name uncultured bacterium. RNAcentral's name for it is "partial 16S ribosomal RNA". It matches the Rfam family "Bacterial small subunit ribosomal RNA", at positions 29 to 507 of the family's 1533-position model. The record is from RNAcentral.
ACGCACGCUGGCGGCGUGCCUAACACAUGCAAGUCGAACGGAAAGGCCCUGCUUUUGUGGGCUGCCCGAGUGGCGAACGGGUGAGUAAUACGAGAGUAACCUGCUCUUGACUUUGGGGUGACUUCAGGAAACUGGGGUUACUAUCGGAUAGGAUCUUAUGUUGCAUGGUGGGGGUUGGAAAGUUUCGGCGGUUGGGGCUGGAUUCGCGGGUUACCAGCUUGUUGGUGGGGGAUGGGCAUACCAAGGCUUUGACUGGUAGGCCGCCUGAGUAGGUGGCCACCCACCAUGCUACUAAGGGACGGACCAGACUCCAACGGUGGGCAGCAGUGGGAAGUAUUACACAGUCGGCGCGAGCCUGAUGCAGCGACCCCGCGUGCGGAAUGACGGCCUUCGGGUUAUAAACCGCUUUCGCCUGUGACGAAGCGUGAGUGACGGUAAUGGGUAAAGAAGCACCGGCUAACUACGUG